RNAcentral lists this non-coding RNA (92 nucleotides) under Lacicoccus alkaliphilus DSM 16010. RNAcentral's name for it is "Salinicoccus alkaliphilus DSM 16010 Bacterial large subunit ribosomal RNA". It matches the Rfam family "Bacterial large subunit ribosomal RNA", at positions 2833 to 2925 of the family's 2925-position model. The record is from Rfam by way of RNAcentral. Lineage: Bacteria; Bacillati; Bacillota; Bacilli; Caryophanales; Salinicoccaceae.
AUCCCUCAGAGACGAUGAGGUGGAUAGGUUCGGCGUGUAAGUGUGGCGACACAUGCAGCGGACGAAUACUAAUCGAUCGAUGACUUAUUCAA